Molecule: ribosomal RNA, 500 nt
Filed under: uncultured bacterium
Lineage: Bacteria
Description: partial 16S ribosomal RNA
Rfam family: Bacterial small subunit ribosomal RNA
Source: RNAcentral
AUUGAACGCUGGCGGAAUGCUUUACACAUGCACGUCGAACGGCAGCACGGACUUCGGUCUGGUGGCGAGUGGCGAACGGGUGAGUAAUACAUCGGAACGUGCCCAAUCGUGGGGGAUAACGUAGCGAAAGCUACGCUAAUACCGCCUACGAUCUAAGGAUCAAAGCGGGGGAUCGCAAGACCUCGCGCGCUUGGAGCGGCAGAUGGCAGACUAGGUAGUUGGUAGGGUAAAGGCCUACCAAGCCGACGAUCUGUAGCUGGUCUUAGAGGAUGAUCAGACACGCGAGGACUAGGACACGGACCAGACUCCUACGGGGGGCAGCAAUUGGGAAGUUUGGACAAUGGACGCAAGUCUGCUCCAGCCAUUCCGCGUGCAGGAUGUAGGCCCUCGGGUUGUAAACUGCUUUUGUACAGAACGAAAAGGCUCUGGUUAAUACCUAGGGCUCAUGACGGUACUGUAAGAAUAAGCACCGGCUAACUGCGUGCCUGCCGCCGCAUUUA